UUUUUUUUGCAGUGCGGCAAGGAUCUGUUCUUAUCUACGUAGGAUUGUUGGCUUUCAUUGCAAUUGUCGAUUGCCAGGAAAACAAUAAUCUCGUGUCCAUACUAACCGA
RNAcentral lists this small RNA (109 nucleotides) under Drosophila simulans. Its description in RNAcentral is "partial mlncRNA68E3-1". The record is from RNAcentral. Lineage: Eukaryota; Metazoa; Arthropoda; Insecta; Diptera; Drosophilidae.